Brassica oleracea var. oleracea is the source of this 174-nucleotide long non-coding RNA. RefSeq lists it as uncharacterized. The record is from RefSeq and is a predicted model, not a curated record. The transcript has 2 exons. Lineage: Eukaryota; Viridiplantae; Streptophyta; Magnoliopsida; Brassicales; Brassicaceae.
UCACUUAUUUUAUCUCUCUCUAUAAUCUCUAAAGAUGUGUUUAAGUUCUUCAGAACCAUUCUCACACACACCCACGAGAUUAGUUUUGUACCUCAAAACACAUACCCACGUUCGUAUCCCUCGCCUCUCAAGGAGGAGAAGGAUGUGGCGGGAAGAAAAGGAGAUGGAGAUGAA